RNAcentral lists this ribosomal RNA (465 nucleotides) under uncultured bacterium. RNAcentral's name for it is "partial 16S ribosomal RNA". It matches the Rfam family "Bacterial small subunit ribosomal RNA", at positions 338 to 795 of the family's 1533-position model. The record is from RNAcentral.
CCUACGGGUGGCAGCAGUGGGGAAUAUUGCGCAAUGGGCGAAAGCCUGACGCAGCGACGCCGCGUGAGGGAUGAAGGUCUUCGGAUCGUAAACCUCUGUCAGCAGGGAAGAACGGUCACUGUGCUAAUCAGCAGUGAAUUGACGGUACCUGCAAAGGAAGCACCGGCUAACUCCGUGCCAGCAGCCGCGGUAGUACGGAGGGUGCGAGCGUUAAUCGGAAUUACUGGGCGUAAAGCGCGCGUAGGCGGUAUGUCAAGUCAAGGGUGAAAUCCCCGCGCUCAACGUGGGAACUGCCUUUGAAACUGGCAAACUGGAGUGUGUGAGAGGAUAGUGGAAUUCCAGGUGUAGGAGUGAAAUGCGUAGAUAUCUGGAGGAACAUCAGUGGCGAAGGCGACUAUCUGGCACAUAACUGACGCUGAGGAGCGAAAGCGUGGGUAGCAAACAGGAUUAGAUACCCCAGUAGUC